UCUUAGUGGCGGACGGGUGAGUAACGCGUGGGGAACCUGCCCUGUACAGGGGGAUAACAUCGAGAAAUUGGUACUAAUACCCCAUAACAUCACCGGAGGCAUCUUCGGUGGUUGAAAACUCAGGUGGUCAGAGAUGGACAUGCGUUGUAUUAGCUAGUUGGUGAGGUAACGGCUCACCAAGGCGACGAUACAUAGGGGGACUGAGAGGUCAACCCCCCACAUUGGUACUGAGACACGGACCAAACUCCUACGGAAGGCAGCAG
RNAcentral lists this ribosomal RNA (263 nucleotides) under uncultured bacterium. Its description in RNAcentral is "partial 16S ribosomal RNA". It matches the Rfam family "Bacterial small subunit ribosomal RNA", at positions 90 to 354 of the family's 1533-position model. The record is from RNAcentral.